Molecule: ribosomal RNA, 253 nt
Filed under: uncultured bacterium
Lineage: Bacteria
Description: partial 16S ribosomal RNA
Rfam family: Bacterial small subunit ribosomal RNA
Source: RNAcentral
UACAGAGGGUGCAAGCGUUGUUCGGAUUUACUGGGCGUAAAGCGUGCGUAGGCUGUACUGAGAGUCGCGGGUGAAAUCCCAGGGCUUAACCCUGGAACUGCCUGCGAGACCUCAGUACUAGAGUGUGAGAGGGGAUUGUGGAAUUCCUGGUGUAGCGGUGAAAUGCGUAGAGAUCAGGAGGAACACCGGUGGCGAAGGCGGCAAUCUGGCUCACAACUGACGCUCAGGCACGAAAGCGUGGGUAGCAAACAGG